AUUGAACGCUAGCGGGAUGCCUUACACAUGCAAGUCGAACGGAGUGGCGAACGGGUGAGUAAUGUAUCGGAACGUGCCCAGUAGCGGGGGAUAACUACGCGAAAGCGUAGCUAAUACCGCAUAAUAUUGGAGUGGCCGAUAUCGGAUGAGCUUGUUGGUGGGGUAACGGCGCACCAAGGCGACGAUCCGUAGCUGGUUUGAGAGGACGACCAGCCACCCUGGGACGGAGAUACGGCCCAGACUCCUACGGGAGGCAGCAGUGGGGAAUUGGGGACAAGGGGGGACACCCUGAUCCAGCCAUCCCGCGUGUGCGAUGAAGGCCUUCGGGUUGUAAAGCACUUUUGGCAGGAAAGCGGUACCUGCAGAAUAAGCACCGGCUAACUACGUGCCAGCAGCCGCGGUAAUAC
RNAcentral lists this ribosomal RNA (407 nucleotides) under uncultured bacterium. RNAcentral's name for it is "partial 16S ribosomal RNA". It matches the Rfam family "Bacterial small subunit ribosomal RNA", at positions 30 to 526 of the family's 1533-position model. The record is from RNAcentral.